This 644-nucleotide ribosomal RNA is filed under the name uncultured Actinomycetes bacterium. RNAcentral's name for it is "bacterial SSU rRNA". It matches the Rfam family "Bacterial small subunit ribosomal RNA", at positions 232 to 885 of the family's 1533-position model. Lineage: Bacteria; Bacillati; Actinomycetota; Actinomycetes. The record is from RNAcentral.
CGCGGCCUAUCAGCUUGUUGGUGGGGUAAUGGCCUACCAAGGCUUUGACGGGUAGCCGGCCUGAGAGGGUGACCGGCCACACUGGGACUGAGACACGGCCCAGACUCCUACGGGAGGCAGCAGUGGGGAAUAUUGGACAAUGGGCGGAAGCCUGAUCCAGCAACGCCGCGUGGGGGAUGAAGGCCUUCGGGUUGUAAACCUCUUUCAGUACCGACGAAGCUUUUUGUGACGGUAGGUACAGAAGAAGCACCGGCCAACUACGUGCCAGCAGCCGCGGUAAUACGUAGGGUGCGAGCGUUGUCCGGAAUUACCGGGCGUAAAGAGCUCGUAGGUGGUUUGUCGCGUUGUCCGUGAAAUCCUACCGCUUAACGGUGGGCGUGCGGGCGAUACGGGCAGGCUGGAGUACUGCAGGGGAGACUGGAAUUCCUGGUGUAGCGGUGAAAUGCGUAGAUAUCAGGAGGAACACCGGUGGCGAAGGCGGGUCUCUGGGCAGUAACUGGCGCUGAGGAGCGAAAGCGUGGGGAGCGAACAGGAUUAGAUACCCUGGUAGUCCACGCCGUAAACGGUGGGUACUAGGUGUGGGUUCCAUUCCACGGGAUCCGUGCCGUAGCUAACGCAUUAAGUACCCCGCCUGGGGAGUACGG